AUACAUAUCUUAAUACCAUGUCUGGGUAUGAAUCAAAAUAUGGGUUCAUAUGUACAAGAUUCCAUGGUGGUCUUAGGUCUAAGGAUUACUUGCACAACUUCCACUUAGAGAACCAUCUUUGACAUGCAAGUAAGGCUUCCAUAAGAUGUUCUCUUUCAUCGAGUCAAUUCAGUGGACUCAUUUUUCAAAUGAGCAUCCACAUCUUUGUUAGAUGUGUGCCCUAGAUGCC
This 229-nucleotide long non-coding RNA is filed under the name Elaeis guineensis (African oil palm). Its description in RNAcentral is "long non-coding RNA (EGUI_LNC056783)". Lineage: Eukaryota; Viridiplantae; Streptophyta; Magnoliopsida; Arecales; Arecaceae. The record is from RNAcentral.